GACAGAGGGGGCAAGCGUUGUCCGGAGUUACUGGGCGUAAAGGGCGCGGAGGCGGUCUGCGGCGUCGGCGCUGAAAGCGCCCCGCUUAACGGGGCGAGGCGUGCCGAUACGCGCAGGCUCGAGGCGAGCAGAGGGUGGUGGAAUUCCGGGUGGAGCGGUGAAAUGCGUAGAGAUCCGGAGGAACGCCAGUGGGGAAGCCGGCCACCGGGGCUCGACCUGACUCUGCGGCGCGACAGCGUGGGGUGCAAACCGG
Molecule: ribosomal RNA, 253 nt
Filed under: uncultured bacterium
Lineage: Bacteria
Description: partial 16S ribosomal RNA
Rfam family: Bacterial small subunit ribosomal RNA
Source: RNAcentral